GCCUGUGUGGCUCAGUAGGUAGAGUGUGGGACUCUUGAUUUUGGGAUUGUGGGUUCAAGCCCCACCUUAGGUG
This 73-nucleotide transfer RNA is filed under the name Felis catus (domestic cat). It matches the Rfam family "tRNA". Rfam says of the family: Transfer RNA (tRNA) molecules are approximately 80 nucleotides in length. Their secondary structure includes four short double-helical elements and three loops (D, anti-codon, and T loops). Further hydrogen bonds mediate the characteristic L-shaped molecular structure. tRNAs have two regions of fundamental functional importance: the anti-codon, which is responsible for specific mRNA codon recognition, and the 3' end, to which the tRNAs corresponding amino acid is attached (by aminoacyl-tRNA synthetases). tRNAs cope with the degeneracy of the genetic code in two manners: having more than one tRNA (with a specific anti-codon) for a particular amino acid; and 'wobble' base-pairing, i.e. permitting non-standard base-pairing at the 3rd anti-codon position. Lineage: Eukaryota; Metazoa; Chordata; Mammalia; Carnivora; Felidae. The record is from Rfam by way of RNAcentral.